GAGGAAUAUUGGUCAAUGGACGAGAGUCUGAACCAGCCAAGUAGCGUGCAGGAUGACGGCCCUAUGGGUUGUAAACUGCUUUUGUAUGGGGAUAAAGUCAAUCACGUGUGAUUGUUUGCAGGUACCAUACGAAUAAGGACCGGCUAAUUCCGUGCCAGCAGCCGCGGUAAUACGGAAGGUCCGGGCGUUAUCCGGAUUUAUUGGGUUUAAAGGGAGCGUAGGCCGGAGAUUAAGUGUGUUGUGAAAUGUAGACGCUCAACGUCUGACUUGCAGCGCAUACUGGUUUCCUUGAGUACGCACAACGUUGGCGGAAUUCGUCGUGUAGCGGUGAAAUGCUUAGAUAUGACGAAGAACUCCGAUUGUGAAGGCAGCUGACGGGAGCGCAACUGACGCUUAAGCUCGAAGGUGCGGGUAUCGAACAGGAUUAGAUACCCUGGUAGUCCGCACAGUAAACGAUGGAUGCCCGCUGUUGGUACCUGGUAUCAGCGGCUAAGCGAAAGCAUUAAGCAUCCCACCUGGGGAGUACGCCGGCAACGGUG
RNAcentral lists this ribosomal RNA (539 nucleotides) under uncultured bacterium. RNAcentral describes it as "bacterial SSU rRNA". It matches the Rfam family "Bacterial small subunit ribosomal RNA", at positions 356 to 896 of the family's 1533-position model. The record is from RNAcentral.